RNAcentral lists this ribosomal RNA (60 nucleotides) under Echinochloa frumentacea (billion-dollar grass). Its description in RNAcentral is "partial 28S ribosomal RNA". It matches the Rfam family "Eukaryotic large subunit ribosomal RNA", at positions 1 to 59 of the family's 3401-position model. Lineage: Eukaryota; Viridiplantae; Streptophyta; Magnoliopsida; Poales; Poaceae. The record is from RNAcentral.
GCGACCCCAGGUCAGGCGGGACUACCCGCUGAGUUUAAGCAUAUCAAUAGGCGGAGGAAA